Molecule: long non-coding RNA, 10023 nt
Organism: Gasterosteus aculeatus aculeatus (three-spined stickleback)
Lineage: Eukaryota; Metazoa; Chordata; Actinopteri; Perciformes; Gasterosteidae
Source: Ensembl
UAGAUUUCCUCGCGUUUGUAUUUUGUUGAGCUGCAUUUUGUUCAGCAUACAAUGUAAAACAAUAGCACGUUAAGAUGGGACUUCACCAGCUAUGAAUUAUAGUUCUUACAAUGCCGAGAAUAUUUUUAAACUACCUUGCACAACACCUGCUUUCUCAUGAUGUAACAAGACCACCACAAGAAACCGUUUGCACAAAAAUUCAUCUUGUUGGCCAUCAUGUGAUGCGUUUCUGUCCAGUAAGCGGAGAGCAUGGACCAUCUGGGCUUAACCUGGAUGUGUGCAAGACACACACAGCGGCAACUGUUCCUUCUAAACAACAAUGGCAGUUCCUAAAAAAGAUUAGCUUAGAUCAGUGUUCAUUUUGGCAGCUAUUUUUGAUUUAGUCUUCGUCAUUUUAAUCCUUUUUAGUUUUAGUCAAGUUUUCGUCGACGAAAACUCAGAACAUUUUAGUCUAGUUUUAGUUGACGAAAACUAGACUAAAAUGUAAUUAGUUUUAGUCACGUUUAAUAGCCAUAUUAAACUCCUUUUCUUCCCUUCUCAGGCCCAGGGACCCCCUGUGUUGUGUCUACAACCAUAGUUUUUAUUUUUUAACAUCGUUUUCGUCACGUCUUAGUCAUGGAAAAAAGGUUCGUUACCAAAAAUUUUUCAUCAAAGUUUUCGUAGACGAAAUUAACACUGGCUUAGAUGAGGUGAGAGAAUCAGUUAUAUCAGAACUGGAUAGAGGUUCUUCAUUUAAACAGUUGAAGAACUUGUCUUGACACUUGGUUCAUCCAAAAAAAAUUGGCGGAAAUUUCAAAUGACAUCUUUUCACUUGGUUCAGUGAUAUAAAUCACUCAGAUCCAAUCCAGUCUUUACUUUUUCUAUCCAAAUCCAGUCAAAUUCUCCCCAGAUCUGGUCAAGUAGCAUCUAGCUGGACUAUCCUUCAACGCAGAAAUAAAGAAGAGAUUGUUUUUACCAUUUUUUGUUUAUAUUAUAGUUAAACUAUGAAUAAAAUGUAUGGUACCAGGAGUAAAAUUAGACCAAUGUGGUUGUAUUUCUAAUGAGGAAAGGAGAAAAACAUUGUCAAGCACACCAAAUAAUACAUUUACCCUUUGGGGACAAACACGGAGUAGCUAACUUAAAAUUCCCUGAACACCUUCUGAGCAUCCAGCGAGCAUUAAAAUACAGCUAAACAUCUUACAAUGAUGUGCUCAUUUGCAAAUCCCACAUGUGAUUAGCAAAAAAAAAAUGCAUUGCCCUAAAAUAAAUCAACCAUACCUUCAUUUCAACAUAGAAAUAAGGGAAAUUAUUCAUGUGAUUCCAAGUGUUGCUGGUAGGACUUAGCACUGGAUUAACCCGGUCAUCCUCCGAGUUCAGCCCAUGCAGUUUUGCAUGGCCACAAAAUGGUCUUAUUCGUGUGUUGUACGCACUAAUGCGGAUUUGUGAGAAGGGAGAAAACACGAUUUGUCUUUUAAAAAGGUGCACCUGGUGCAGGCAUAUCCAAUUUAUACCAACAACUUCCCCUUCCCCAGCAGGUGUUCCUGAUGCACAACAGCAUGUCUCAAAGAAAUACGCGUCUAUUUAUGAAAUAAGUAGACGGCUCACAGUUGUUGUUGUUGUUGUUGUUAUUGUUGCUAUAGUUAAACUAGGUCAAAUUAAGUAGUUUAGGUAACAAGAAAGUAAUACUUACAGUAGAUGAAUUUCAUUCAUGUCUCCUUUCAAUACGUCAGGCACACUUAUGCAGCAUUGUGAUAUGACAAAAAAGAAAUUGUUGUAUUGUUUAUGUGAAAUCAAUUUAACAAGUGUGAAAAUUCACCUGUAAUACCUAGAUGCAAUUAUUAAGAAUGCAAUGCAAAUAUUGUGCUUGCUGUAUUCCUCUAAAACAGUGAUCGCUAAGUGAUUCAUCAUUAAAAUGUAAUUUUCACAAGACUAAUUUUCACAAGACUAAACAGUGCUGUGGGAAUAACUUUAUUAAAAUGUGUUAAAUUGAAAGACCAGUUAUUGCAUAGCAAUUGACCAUCAUCUGAUAUAAAUCAACAUCAUCACUGAAUCAAUCAUUUCUGUAGGUGUCACGCAAUGAAGUACAUGGUCUGAUAUGCCCAGUCUGUGCAGGUAGGAAUCUAAUGAUGUGCGAGCAUUUUCAGAUUCUGCAAAAACAAAUGAGUUAAAAACAUGACAGUAAAAAGAAAAAAAAACCUGCAGGUAUCAGAGCACGACGACACUCAAGAGAGUAACAGACUGAGGUGGUUUAACGGGUGAGUUUUAAGAAGUGCAGCGUCUUAUGGGAACAAACUGUUGAGGUGCUGUGUGACCUCAGUCCCAGAGGAAAUUCUUCUGUAAAGAUAGUUUCUCGGGUGGACAGGAAUGGUGACAGCUCAUCCUGACCCUUUCUCACUCCGGAAUCAUUCCUUCCUGUUGGUUGAUCGAGGGUAGCAGAAAGGAAAUGUUCAUCACAGCUGUCGAGGCAACACAAUGGGGCUGCAGUACUUUGUGCUGGAGGUCUGUAAUUACUGUGCCACAAAAAUGAAGUUCCUGUUUUUACAUUAAAAACACCCCCCAUUGAGUCCCUUAAGUAGGUAUAAUAUUUUAAAUACUAGGUGCAGAUUUGUCUGAUCCCAAGUUUUAAAGAUGUUUGGGCACAUCAGGUUAAUACAUGGGCCAUUUGAAAACUGGUUUAUUCUUAACCCUCUUGUAAUUUCAAAAUAUUUCCUCUCCUCUCACUGGCCAUUAUUCCACCCGCUGAACCUUUUUCUCUUGGAUCAGAAAGCCAAACUUUUGUCCUUGUUUUAUCAAGUUGCACUUUUUACCUGAGCACAUUCUUUAUUCCCUAUUGCGCUCCCAUUUCGUCUGUUCCUCGGAGCCAAAUUACUUCCGUGGCCCACAAUUCUCAGGCGCCUUUCAAAUCACUGCCAACCAUCCCUCCCCAUUGGCAGCUAGACCCAUUUUUGAGUCAUUAAAUCCCAUUUCAGCAUUUUAACCACGUCAGCCUCCCAACUCCCAAAUGAAAUAAUAUCUCCUAACUCAGCCCACUUUGCAGUUGUCCCAAGCACAGCGACCAGACCAAAAACACGUCUUGACAUGUCACGUUUUAUUGUAAUUUGUACAACUUUCUUUUUGACAAUUUUAAAACUAUUCGUUUCAUAACCUAUGAAGGAUUGAGGAGGCGUGUGCUGUGUGAAGCGUGCAUGAUUGAUAUGUUGCAGUUUUCUUGUUCUGGCCCAGUUGAAAACCGCUCAUAGUUAGCGCAGUUACAGCAAUCAACUUUCUACUUAUGUGAAAAAAAGCUUGGGAUAGAAUAAUUGAUAUACAAAUGCCCUUAGUGUUUUUUUGUUUGGUUUCAUAGAAAGCAUUGUCUACUAACAGUGUUCAUUUGGUGGAUCGUCUCCUUAUAGGUAUCAAUUGGAACUUGAUAUACGUUAUCACUACAUGCAGCGUUUGCCUCACAAAAUAAUUUAUUAGUCACAAUUGAGUCUGACUAUAUGCUCAUUAGUUUCAUAUGAGAACAAACAGCUGUUGUUUUAUUGCACUUAUACAACUCUAUUUAGUGGUUCAGAAGCAAUGCGGUGGUAUUACACAGCAGUAUACAGUAACACAUGUAACAACCUUUUUGCGUGUGAUUAUUGCUGAGUUCAAAAUAUGAACAUUAGCGGGUCUAGAGGGCCAUAUGUGUGCAUGCGUGAGAUGGAAGGCGAAGAGAAAAGGGAGUAUGGAAGAGAUGCACUGACAAACCUGGAGUUGUUCCAAAACAUUUUCUCCCAGAGCGAGACCCCUUCUCCAAUACUGACUCCAUCCACCCUCCUGCUUUUGUGCAGAGCCUCGCUUUGGGCCGACUAUAUCAGUAUCUGCAUCAAACUGGAAAUCAGUAGCUGCGUGUUGGCACCACGGUCAGUGCCUGCCAGGGGGACUUUAGUUGCUAGGGGACGUGUGAACCGUGGCACUGAGCUUCUAAAGCAAGUAUCGUUUUGUGUACAUAACCAGUUUAGAAAUAUGCAUUGCAGAAUUAUGAACAGGAAACUUAUUACUGAACAGGUAAUAAUGAUGAAACAACCCGGUUAAAAUAUCAAAUACUGGUGUAUUUGACGUAAGGUACAUUUGACAUUGCAUUGUAUCAAAGAAGAUACUGAAGUCGGUUUAUAUUUAAUAGAAUUGGCAGUCGUGAGAUGUAAAGCACAUUCGUGUUAUUUGUUUUCUUAUUUUCUUUGCACUACCUAAGCUAUUAACCCUUGAUUUCUUUCCAUGGUUUGGCAUCAGGUGACAUGAAGUGGUUGACUUUUAUUUGCCUAUUUUUUUGCAGGAUGCAAAAAUAAUUCUAAACAUAUUUUCACCAUUAUCAUUUUCACAGAGGUUUGCCAUCAAUAUUGAAGUUGAAAUUAAAGACUAUGAAAUGUAUUUCACCGACCAGAGACAUGAGAAAACAGUUCAUCAUCGCUUCUUAACAUAGCACAUACUUACUUACUUAAUAACCGCACCAACCAACAAGUCAAAUUCCUUGUAUGUAUGACAUAUUUUGGCAAUAAAUGUUUCCUGAUUCCUGAUUAAUAAUUAUUGUAUGAUAACAAUGUGAGGUGCUCAACCAGCAGCUAAAGUUUUGUCUUGAAACCGGCUUUUCCCAGCCGAGAGUAGCUUUAGUGCUGACGAUGUGACCGGCUGUGAGUGCAUGUUUCAACCACCACAACGCCCUCACAUUUCAGCCAGCUGGCUUGUAUCUCGCACCACUGAACCUGCAGGAACCCCAAUAAACGGUGUGCCGGGAGACCCCUUCACUCUUUGUGUUCAACGACUACCACUUUGCACUUGUCUUGGCACUUGGCGCGAUUGAAAUGGGGCCCGUAGGGAUUUUUACUUUUAAUGAGCAAGAUAUGUCAAGACCCAGAAAGUCGAUGCCUCCGACAUUAAAGCUUGUUUAGUUGUAUAAUGCCUCUGUUGGGUUAAAAGUAGGAGAGGAAGGGUCACGGUGAGAGGAGUAGUUGUGCUGUAAAGCUUACAAAGGUCAUAGUUAGCGUCCACAAGUAUAAAACACUCCAGACUUUCAGCAAUACUCUUGUAGCAAUGGAAAGUUGUUACUAACUCUAAAAUAUAGAAAAUAUUUUUCCUCGCUUGUCAAAUAACCUCAUGUCAUGUCGAGUUGAGAACCACACACAGCUGAUUAUUUCACAGCAAUCCAUCGGAGCUACUAAAAAAUAACUUGUGCAAAGACGUUGGUUGGACUGUUUUUUACAUAAAAUAAUCCUGAAACUACGAGGAUUAUAAAAUCUAUUUUAUGGAUCUUAAUCAAUCUUAAUCAAAUUUGUCUUAAGUUUCACAGUGUAGGUAGAUGUACUCUAAGCUUUUUAAUGAUAUGGUUUUAGUGUAGCACUUAAGUACUGCUCCAAAUAACACAGCAAAAAUGUAGAGACUUAAACAAUUAAUAGAAAAUCUUUAGAGCUGUAGAGUAAAAAUAAUAUGAAAAGAAUGUUUGACCCAGAUCUUGAAGACCGGGCUAAUAGUGAUUGUUAUUACUUUGUGUUUAAAUAAAUAACAAUGAGAUAAUCAUAAGAUAAUGUACAUGUUUUCAUAGCGUGGACAGUUAAAGUAACACCUUCACCAUUAUAAGAAAACCAAAGGACAUCAUCAGAAGUCAUGACUAGAAUAAAAGAAAUCUCUCCACUUGUAGAAGGGAUAUAAUGAAAACACACUUUUUGAGGACGUGUUUACAUACAUGUGAGUGCCUGUAGAGCCAAACAACCCACUUACUGUCUCAUAAGACAACACAGUCAGUUUUAUUGUGAGCUGCCUCGGUCAGAAAACAUGUAAUUGAAACGCUAUUCAAAUUUGGUUUUCCCUUCCUUUUACUGCAUGCCUAUUCAUAAGAACAUACCACCCACCUCCAUCCGAGUGUCGUCUCCAUAACUACCUUUCCUAAAGUCUGCCAUAUUUUUCUCACUAGCCAAUCCGAGUAUAUUGGGCUUUUCCCAUAGAGGCUGGCUUAAAUUGUCAGGCGCUUAAACAGAGAGUGAUUACAGGAAUAUUUCAGCAUUCCAGAAAUGUCAUAUAUUUUCAAACAUUGAAUAAUACAAACAUUUACUUAUAAAUCCCAAAUAUUAUUAUGAGUCAAAAAAGAAACAUACUAUUUCCCUUUGACGUAAAACGUUCACCAUCAUGACCUUUUUUUCAACAUACAAUCCCUUUUCUAAUCAAGAUGCUUUGUGAAUAUACUCCACAAUGACUUAUAUUUUCCACAUGCCGCCCCCUCAACCAUAAGCGGAUCUCUACUGGAAACAAAAAACUUCAUUCGGGCCUCGAGCACAUAAGAAAUAAAGUUAAGUGCAACGGCUGGCACGACUGGAGGAAUCAUGAAAAGGUCACAUUUCAGUCCUUUCCCGCACCAGUCUGUUCUGUCUUCGAUGACCUUCGAGAAAGCAUGCGACUCAAAAAAAAGGCACUAGUCUUAAAUUAGGGUACAUUCAAUCCAUCUACAGAUUGAGCAGCAACUCGGGAGGUGGUAAGAAGUCAGCACCUUGCUCAUUGACAUUUCAGUGGAAAUCCUGUACGACGGGAGGGCUUCAAUCUAAGGCCUACAGCAGCUGGUCAGUCUAUAAUGACUGAACUCUCGCCUGACAGGUUGCCGGUUUGAUACGUAUGCUUGGGGCAUUUGUAAUGAGAUGAAAAAGUGUGAACCGCGAUAGCACAAGAUCUGGCUUCUUAGCGUUUGCUUGAACUUUGCUCGGACCAUAUUUCCACACCCUGGACUACACAAAGUAAGGUUGGGGCCAUCAUUUAGGAAUUACACUUGUAUGGGAUGUCUAUUCCUCAGCUUUGUUUGGUUGUUUAUUAGCCAUAUUGCAAACAUGACUUUUAUUGUGGCUACACAUGUCAAGUAUUUAGAAAAGAGAUUCUCCAAGAACACAGGUAAACAUAAAUACACACGCGCCUCACAGUUCAUUCAGUUCGUUCCACAGAUGAAAAAAAAAAUGUUAGGACCAAAUUUACAGAAGGCCAGCAGGUGAACAUCAGCCGAAGAAAAGAGGUCUUCAUGCAGCAUAAAUAAAACAAGGUUUAUGUUUUUUUACCAUUUGAGACUUUGCUGAGCUGAAACAAGGACAACGCCACAAAAGGUGCUCAAUAUAUAGAUCUGUGGUCAACCCAAUAAGGCCUUGGCUGACUGAUACUUCAUCUACUCUUUAGCUAAUCGAUUGGUGGAUGUGGCAAUUCAAAAAAGUCUCUCCUCCCAUGCUUGGCUAAAUAAUUGUUACGAUUAUGUUGUUCUCUACUGUUGAAAAACCACACAAGGUAACCUUUCUUUAAGAACAUACACGUUGUCUUUCUCUCUCUCAAACAAGCACAUCCUUUUCACCCCCAAAAUGUUGCAAUAAAAUGUGCAUUUCUCCUCAUUUAAGUAAAACCAAAUAGUGUCCGACCAAUAAGAAUUGAGUGGGACAAGAGCAUCGCCACCAACAGACCAGAAGGAGCUCAGAGAAAACAAGCAUAUCUGUUGCCUGAACACGGCCUGUAACAUGGAAAGUGCUAGACAGUUCGUACAACAGCAGCAGCACAGGGGGAGAAAACGGUUUUCCCUUUGUGGGAAGCUUCUGUGACAAGGUUAUCAGGGGCGGUCGCCGUGUUAGACAAUACUCCUCCUUGCUAUGCUUAGCUAGAAGUUGCUCACUGCUAGAUUAGCGCUUUCACUCCUGUAUAAAUAACCUGUAAAAGACCUUGGAAAUGAAUGAGGAUAUGAUAUAAGAUUGCAAUCUCAAAGUUUGAUGAAAUUAUUAUGGGAAAAAAAUUUAAAUGUUGUCGUGUUCCAAAAUUAAGAAACGCCGGACGGACAAAAGGCAUCGCAGAUCGAAAGGUUAAAAUCAAAUGUAUUUAAUAAAAGAGAUGGUGUUGUGGUAAAAAGAACAUCUCAGCUGAGGAGCCGCUGGUCUUUGCAACCAACAGGCCCCAGGUCAGUCCUUUGACCAUCCCCAGUGCCCGUCUGCUGCCUCCACCAGCGAACUCCAGAACAAUGGUUGCCUACAGGUAUUUAUACCGAUCCGUACAGGUGUGAAAGUUAGUGUCCACACCUCUGGGAGUGGUCUUCUGGUGAUUUCAAUGUAACUCGGAUUUCGAAUGACCCUCAGUCAAUAUCAGUUGUUGUGCAAGUAUUAAAUGCAUGCAUUCCAGUUGAUUACAUUGCAUUAAAUACAAUCAUAACUGUACAUUGGUAUUAUUCUAUUACAGUUCCAGAAUGACAGUGGUUUUACAAUAUUGCCAUUACUUUAUUGAUUACACAGUUUCAGAAUCAUGGCUGUAUUCUGGUGUACACUCAAUGUAUUUUAUAAAUUUUAUGAACCGGGUCGUCAGUUUAUUUCUAAUAUCCUACACUGUCUAUUAAAGAGUAACUUCACACUGAAAUGUCCCCUUUAAUCUAUAAACUAAAUGCUAUCGCUGUACCGUGAUGAUGUGUCUUACCAUUUAUUUUAAUCUGAUGAACAGUCAUUUCUUUUUUCCAUGCCAUAGUGCCAAAGUGCUAUCAACACUUCCCAAGCUACUGUGACUGCCAUUUUGCUGUGGUUUUAUCUCGCAGACCCGUGCCGGCUUUUUCUCAGGCUCGGACCUGGAUACUUGUCGAUUGAGGAUUUCAGUACAGUAAGUAGCUGCUCUUAUUAAUAGGCCUACUUGUUCUUUUCACAUGACUGAAUUGUUUUAAAAAGAUAUAGAUCAUAGAUGAUGAAGAAGAUUUAAAAGACAAAUAAAUUCAGAACGCAAUUCUUCAGAGUUCUUCAUAAAAUGGCAAAAGAAUUGUUUCUAGAGCAUCAACAGUAACAGCUGUUUACAACCGCCAGGGCACUAUAUGAAGUCAUUAAUAUCUAACCAGAAUGUCACAUUAAAUAGCAAAACAAAUAACUAUUCUGAGUGAAGUUUAUAUCCAAUGAAAAACAAAGACAUCUGUCAGUAUUGGUUAUCCCUCCUGUCUUUUGUCCUCCUGGCUGCCUUGUCUCAGUCGGCAGAGAAGUUUUAUAAAAAAGCUUUUGCCCGAUUGUUUAUGCUUUGCUCUUGCAAACAUAGCAUCGGUGGCUGACUGAAUCGGGUUCCACUUUCGUUUUACAUGCUCACAAAUGUAUCAAAUAGAACUGUUGGCUUUUUACUCCCAAAUAUUUGACUGAAUGUUGAAUAACGAGAAUAGUCGACACCAACUCGAGAAUGCCUGAGUUGACCAUGUUGACUUUGCUGCACCGGCAUGUUUGCUGGCGCUCGGUGAGUGUCUGUGUUAUGUGUGGCCGUGUAGAGAGAGAGAGAGCAGAACAGACGAGCCCUGCAGCGUUAUAAUAGAUUGCAUCAAAACAUUCAAAAGUACUGUUAAAAAGCAGCAAAAACAUUGGGGCUUUUCAAAACUACAAUGUUCAUCAUUUAGCACCGAAAGUCUCGAGCUCGAGACAAUAUCCGCUCUGGGCUGUUGUAGAAACAUGGCAGACUGCGUGGAAGACGACAUGCUUCUUACUAAAGUCUACACUCUUCUUUCUUCUUCAUACUAUUUAGAUAUAAAUUACCUUUCCUAACCAAAGGAAGAGAUAACUAUUCUUAGUAUUAAGGGACUAUAAACUAUUUAUAACAUAGUUACUGUUUUUCACUCAUGUUCUUUCAUCUUGCAGCUAGCAAGUUCAAAAGAAAUGCAAAAAAAUAAGACAAAUUUGUGAUCACCUCUUUGACGGGACGACCUUUGUGACCCAUGUUUGGGCAGAGCAAGGUACCUGGCUGUGCUGCCCAGGGGCCUUCAUCAUUCCACGUACUAAAGCCUGGUUGGCCGGUUUUGUUGCUUCCAUCUCAAAGAAAACAGAUGAGAGAAUCACUAAGUGAGCGUGUAUGGGGCGCCUUUUGUAAAAUGUUGCACGUUCCAAAAUCCUGUGCAGUUUUUCCACAUUUAGCAUUAUCAUAUGAACAAAAAAGCACGACAAUAUUCACAUGUCACCUUUUCAAACAUUUAGGGAGAAAUUCAUGUACAUUCAUGCAAUAACUUUUCCAAGGAUAAUGUUUGGCUGUAACAAAUUUGUUAAAUAAUAAAUUGUUAAAUCUAAAUGUUAAAUC